RNAcentral lists this ribosomal RNA (253 nucleotides) under uncultured bacterium. Its description in RNAcentral is "partial 16S ribosomal RNA". It matches the Rfam family "Bacterial small subunit ribosomal RNA", at positions 524 to 776 of the family's 1533-position model. The record is from RNAcentral.
UACGGAGGGUGCAAGCGUUAUCCGGAUUCACUGGGCUUAAAGGGUGCGUAGGCGGGCAUGUAAGUCAGUGGUGAAAUCUCAAAGCUUAACUUUGAAACUGCCAUUGAUACUAUGUGUCUUGAAUUUCCUGGAGGUUAGCGGAAUAUGUCAUGUAGCGGUGAAAUGCUUAGAUAUGACAUAGAACACCGAUUGCGAAGGCAGCUGACUAUAGGUAGAUUGACGCUGAUGCACGAAAGCGUGGGGAUCAAACAGG